CAGGAUGGCCACAUUGAAGCUAUUGAAGUGA
RNAcentral lists this non-coding RNA (31 nucleotides) under Rattus norvegicus (Norway rat). Lineage: Eukaryota; Metazoa; Chordata; Mammalia; Rodentia; Muridae. The record is from RNAcentral.